Molecule: ribosomal RNA, 497 nt
Filed under: uncultured bacterium
Lineage: Bacteria
Description: partial 16S ribosomal RNA
Rfam family: Bacterial small subunit ribosomal RNA
Source: RNAcentral
GAUGAACGCUGGCGGCGUGCCUAAUACAUGCAAGUCGAGCGAACAGACGAGGAGCUUGCUCCUCUGACGUUAGCGGCGGACGGGUGAGUAACACGUGGAUAACCUACCUAUAAGACUGGGAUAACUUCGGGAAACCGGAGCUAAUACCGGAUAAUAUAUUGAACCGCAUGGUUCAAUAGUGAAAGACGGUUUUGCUGUCACUUAUAGAUGGAUCCGCGCCGCAUUAGCUAGUUGGUAAGGUAACGGCUUACCAAGGCAACGAUGCGUAGCCGACCUGAGAGGGUGAUCGGCCACACUGGAACUGAGACACGGUCCAGACUCCUACGGGAGGCAGCAGUAGGGAAUCUUCCGCAAUGGGCGAAAGCCUGACGGAGAAACGCCGCGUGAGUGAUGAAGGUCUUCGGACCGUAAAACUCUGUUAUUAGGGAAGAACAAAUGUGUAAGUAACUAUGCACGUCUUGACGGUACCUAAUCAGAAAGCCACGGAUAACUACGUG